UACGGGGGGGGCAAGCGUUGUUCGGAAUUACUGGGCGUAAAGGGCUCGUAGGUGGCCAACUAAGUCGGACGUGAAAUCCCUCGGCUUAACCGGGGAACUGCGUCCGAUACUGGUUGGCUUGAGUUUGGGAGAGGGAUGCGGAAUUCCAGGUGUAGCGGUGAAAUGCGUAGAUAUCUGGAGGAACACCGAUGGCGAAGGCAGGUCUCUGGGCAUUAACUGACGCUGAGGAGCGAAAGCAUGGGGAGCGAACAGG
RNAcentral lists this ribosomal RNA (253 nucleotides) under uncultured bacterium. RNAcentral describes it as "partial 16S ribosomal RNA". It matches the Rfam family "Bacterial small subunit ribosomal RNA", at positions 524 to 776 of the family's 1533-position model. The record is from RNAcentral.